RNAcentral lists this long non-coding RNA (6604 nucleotides) under Macaca fascicularis (crab-eating macaque). RNAcentral's name for it is "lncRNA (ENSMFAG00000059367.1)". Lineage: Eukaryota; Metazoa; Chordata; Mammalia; Primates; Cercopithecidae. The record is from RNAcentral.
CAGCGGAGCGGCCCCACCAGGUGGUCGCGGCCAUAACAGCGGCUCCUCACCGGCUCACCUUCCGCGCCCCUGCCGCCGGAGAUGAGGUGUCCUGGGUCAUGAAACUUAAUCCACAACAAGCUCCCUUAUAUCUUCCUUGUUUGGUGAGAAUCGCCUGUGGCCAUGGCUCUGACUGACACAGACCUACAGCUGCAGUUCUGCACGUCCCAACCUGAAACCCUCCCUUCUCCUGGCAGCAGGCCCAGCUGACCACCUCCUGCUGCAGCUCUACUCUGGAUGCCUGCAGGUCAGACUUGUCCUGGGCCAGGAGGAGCUGAGGCUGCAGACCCCAGCAGAAAUGCUGCUGAGUGACUUCGUGCCCCAUACUACAGUGCUGACUGUCUCAGAGGGCCGGUCCACAUCGUCAGUCAAUGUGUUUCUGAAUGCCUCCUCUGCAGUCCUGGGAGCCCCCUAGAGGUCCCCUGUGGACUCUGUUGGGAGCACUGGGAGCCUUGGCCUGACCUACCUGAGGGGAACCAGCCAUCCCCUGAGGAGUUGCUUCCAUACAGCCACCCUCAAUGGCUGCAGCCUCCUCCGGCCUCUGACCCCCAACGUGCGUGAGGGCUGUGCUGAAGAGUUUUACGCCAGUGACAGCGUGGCCCUGGGCUUCUCUGUGUCCCACUCUCUGGCUGCCUUCCCUGUCUGGGGCACUCAGGAUGAAGGAACCCUGGAGUUGACACUCACCACACAGAGCCGGCAGGCACCUUUGGCGUUCCAGGCAGAGGACUGGCAUGGGGACUUCAUCCAUGUGGACAUAUUUGAGGGCCACCUGUGGGCCAUGGUCGAUAAGGGCCAGGGUACUGCAUUGCUCCUCAGCAGUGUGCCUGUGGCUGAUGGGCAGCCCCACAAGGUCAGUGUCCACAUCAACACUCACCAACUGGAAAUCUCCAUGGACCAGUACCCCCACGUGUACUUUGAACUGAGGAGCCCCCGGCUACCUGGAGCCACGUGGCAGUCUCCUUCUUGGGGGGCUGGUUGCAGAGGCCUCUUGUCACCUCCAGGAACACUGCCCAGGCCUGACCCGAGGGGCCACCAAGGCCUCCCUGCUGGGCUGGCUGCAUGGAAGACUUCAGUGUCAAUGGCCAGAGGCGGGGGCUGCAGGAAGCCUUGUUGGCCGCAGCAUGGCGGCUGGCUACAGGAUGGAGGAGGUGGAGGAAUAUGAGGACGAUGCUUAUAGCCAUUAUGAAUCUUUCUCCACCCUGGCCCCUGAGGCUUGUCUGGCCAUGGGGCUAGCUGAGCCAUGUGUGCCCGGACCAGGGCUGCCUCCUGUCUUUGCCAAUUUCACCCAGCUGCUAUCAGCCCACUGGUGGUGGCUGAGGGUGGCACAGCCUGGCUUGAGUGGCGGCACGUGCAGCCCACACUGGCCCUGAUGGAGGCUGAGGGGCACAAAUCCCAGGUGCUGUUCAGCAUGACCUGAGGAGCACAUUACAGUAAGCUGAAGCUGGACAUCCUGGGUGCCCAGGUAUGAAAAAUGUUUGCCCUCCUGGACGUGGUGAACCGCAAGGCCUGCUUCAUCCACGAUGGCCCUGAGGACACCUCUGACCAGCUGAUGCUAGAGGUGUCAGUGACGGCUCGGGUGCCCAUGCCCUCAUGCGUACUGACCUCCUGGAGGCCACCCUUGAGGAGGCAGGCCCAAGCCUCCCAACCUUCCACUAUGAGGUGGUUCAGGCUCCCAGGAACGGCAGCCUUCAAUACAGGGCACGAGGCUGUCAGGCGGUCAGGGCUUCACCCAGGCUGGCCGGGUGACCUUCGGGGCCACGGCAUGUGCCUCGGGGGCAGUCUAGGACACCUUCUGUUUCUGUGUCACAGCUCCACCAUAUUUCUCUCUGCUCUGUACCUUUUCCAUCCAUAUUGGUGGUGACGCAGACGUGCCUGUCCUCACCAGUGUCCUCAUGGUGCCUGAGGGUGUCCUCUCUGCUGACCAGCUCUUUGUUAAGAGUCUCAACAGUGCCAGGUACCUCUGUGAGGUCAUGGAGCGGCCCAGCCAUGGGAGGUUGACUUGGCGUGGGACACAGGACAAGACCACUGUGGUGACAUCCUUCACCAAUGGAGACCUGUUGCCUGAUUGGCUGGUCUACGAGCAUGAUGACUCCAAGAUCACAGAAGAUGAUAUCCCAUUUGUUGGUACCCGCCAGGAUGAAGGCAGUGGUAACAUGGCCUGGGAGGAGGUACGGGGUGUCUUCCUAGUGGCCAUCUAGCCAUCUAGAAUGACCACGACCCUAUGCAGACCAUCAGCUGCAUCUUCCAUAUGGCCUGGGGUAGGUGGUGGCUACUCACUACAGACGAUGUGGCCUUUAGCAGUGCUGAUUCAGGCUUUGCUGAUGCCCAGCUGGUGCUGACCUGCAAGGACCUCCUCUUUGGCAGUAUCAUGGCUGUGGAUGAGCCCAUGCAGCCCAUCUACUGCUUCAUCCAGGAGGGACCUCAGGAAGAGGUGAGUCCUGUUCGUGCACCCGGGCUGACCACAGCUGGAUCCAGCUGCAGGUGUCUGAUGGGCAGCACCAAACCAUCACUCUGCUGGAAGUGCAGGCCUCGGAGCCCUACCUCUCUGUGGCCAGUGGUUCCGGCCUCAUGAUCCCUCAAGGAGGCCAGGGUACCAUCAACAUGGCCAAGCUCCACCUGGACGCCAACCUUGACAUCCACAGCGGGGAUGAGGUCCACUACCAUGUCACAGAUGGCCCUCGCUGAGGACAGUUGCUCUGGGCCACUCAGCCAGCCACAGCCCUCUCCCAGCAGGGCCUGCUGGUUGAGGCCGUUCUCAACGGCCACAAUGGCAGCCUCAGGCCCCACAACACCCUGGCCUUCUCAAUGAUUGUGGGGCCAGUGCACACGGAUGCCACCUUGCAAGUGACCGUUGCCCUAGAGGGCCCACUGGCCCCACUGAAGCUGGCCUGGUGCAAGAAGAUGUACAUCUUCCGGAGAGAGGCAGCUGAGAUCAGAAGGGACCAGCUGGAGGCAGCCCAGGAUGCAGUGCCGCCGGCAGACAUGGUUUUCAGCGAAGAGCCGCUGAGUGCUGGCACCUGGUGAUGGUUCCGCGUGGUGUCUUGGCAGAUGAACCACCCAGCCUGGACCCCAUGCAGAGCUUCUCCCAAGAGGUGGUGGACACAGACAGGAUCCUGUACCUGGACUCCCGCCCUGAUGCCUGGAGCAAUGCCUUCUUGCUGGAUGUGGCCUUGGCUUGGGUGCUUCCCUCGAGGACGUCAUGUGGAGCUGGAGGUGCUGCCUGCUGUCAUCCGCACUGGGUCACAAAACUUCAGCAUCAUGAGGGUAGCAGCUGUACCCUGGCCCUCCACUGCUCCACGUCGCCAGGCCCUACUUCCUCACUCUGCCGGGCCUUGGCCUGCAGGUGCUGGAGCCACCCUGGCUCCCAGCAGAAGAGAACGGGCCUCAAGCCAGGACCCUCAGCACCUUCUGCUGGAGAGAGACCACGGAGUUCUCAUCUCGGAGACACUGGCCAGUGUGUGCUCGUGUGAGGACCAGAACACACUGAUGGAGGAGUUGGCAGAGCAGGCACAGCCGCGGCGCGAGGAGAUGCUGCGCAUGCACCACGUGCUGAAGGAGGGGCUCAGCAUCAUCCGCGACAUCAACACAACCACCGUCAGCAUGUCCAAGCGCCUACCGAUGGACGACUCCUGGCUGCAGGUGUAGAGCAUCCCGGACGCAGGUCGCCUAAGUCCAGUCCCAGGAUGCCCAUCCCUGGCUAUGUCCCCAGCCUGGCCUGGGUCGUGGGGCCUGGCUCCUGGGCUUCCUCCUACUGGGUCCGCCCUUGGGGAAGCAUCCUCCGUACCCUCCAGGCCAGAGGCUUCCCCUGAUCCCUUCAGCCCUACCCGCCAAGUGCUCUCGUGCCCCACCCGGGAUCGCCAGGUGAGUAGGGGCUGAAUGCGGAUUGGGACUGGAAUCCAGAGCAUUGGACCUGGCCGCCAGAACUGGCCGUUUCCAUCCAAGGCAGUGGGACCGUGGACGCCUGAGCCACAUGUGGCCGAGGGCUGGCGGAGCCUGCCCCCCAGGGAGCGCUGAGUCCCGGAGUUGGUCGUUUUUGAGGAGGGGGCUGAGGGGCUCGUCCCACCUGCUGCCUUCUUUCCAGCACUUGCGUAGCACUUCCCUCUAUUUUCACUCUGGGCAGUCGCCCACACGUUGCAUUCCUCUUCCUAUCUUCUCCUUGUCUUCCAUCCUCCAUUCCGUCCAACUCCUCUCCCAGCCCCUGGGGAGCCUACCUCAGGUCUGAGAGUCUGAACCCCGAGAUGCUCUGGGUGUGUGGAUUUCCUUCAUCUACCCUGAUGUCCCCACUUCCAAGUCCUGACUCCUUUGAGCCAUCCCAGGGAGUGUCUGGCCACUGUGCCACAGGAGCAGAGGCCAGGCUGUGACUGUGUGACCAACAAGAAUUCAUUAGUUUCUGUUUGUUCUCAGUUAAUAUCCAGCUCAAUAGAUUGUCACCAACCAUGUGCCUAGAGCUAACUGUGUCAAGAAGAGCAUGCUUCAGGUGGCUGCAGUGAGCAGUUCAACUUGUGGAGGAAUGAGAAAUGAUAGUGUUGAGACAAGAAACACAAAACCCAGGGAUGGCUGUGGAGAUCCAGGGAGGCAGUGGCCAUAGGGAUGCUAUGUUAACUGCAGAUGCAGCCAUAGGAGCACUUUGCUAACUGCCAACGCUGCCCCACCAUGCAUGUGACCUGCCAUGUGAUUUGAUGCUGUCUUUCAGAAUCACUAUCGGUGUUCCCUGAGGAGCGUCAGCCUUGAUGCCUCUCUGAGUAAGAUGAUGGGAGCACCCCGUGAGAAAAGUUGCCUCGGUGAGAGUAAGGAGGCCAUCGCACCUCCUCCAAAGAAACCAACUCCAUCAACCUCUGGCUCUUAAAUAACAAACAUCAUCAUCCAGAAAUAAAUUCACAUUUAUUCAGUUUGAACUCACAUUUUAAAAUUCUGUUUCUGCUGAACUCUAACCUUCUAAUGUCGCCUUCUAAGCAAAUUGAAAGCUGCCUUAUACUGAAUGAGGAAGAGAACAAAUACUUGGCUGAAUGAGCUCUUAGAUGAUGGUGAUGUUUAUCUGCCUGAUCUCGGCACGGUGAAAAGAAUGGCAUGCAGGGGUUGCUGCGCAAGCCUCGGUGCUCCUGGAGAGUCCUGCGUUAGAGGAAGCAGCUGCACGAUCUGCUGUGCCGUGGGGUUGUGGUGGGGAGAACCCUCUCUGGCCUCUCCUGGUGCAGGCUCCACGCUGUCAGUGAGGCUCAGCCACGAAGAUCUUCAGACAGAGGGAGGAGGGGAUCUGAGGUCAGUCCACCUUGUCCUCCAUAAAGUCGCUGUGAAGCCAAAAUAAUGGGGUCACAUCUCAAGAACCACCUGCCUUGCCCCACCCACACCGUUUCAUGGCCCCUGCAGGGCUCGGUGGGUCUCCCACACACAGACUCACCCCAGUCCCUGGGGUCCUCUGGGAUAAAGCCACUGGGUGAGCCAGGGGCUGGCAGCACACCCUUUGCUAUUCCUGGGCAUUGGCUCCAGCGUCGUUGAAAAAUGCCACCUGAAGGCAAGAGUGUCACUCUGUGUCCCAGGCUGGAGUCCAGUGGUGCGAUCUCAGCUCACUGCAACCUCUACCUCCCAGGCUCAAAUGAUUCUCGUGCCUCAGCCUCCUGAGUAGCUGGGAUGACAGGCAUGCACCACCAGGCCUAGAGAGAAGCAAUCAUUGGCCACCUGCUAUAACUGAAGACCCCAGAACUUGGUGUCUGCCUCCCAUGGCACCGGGAAGGGUGGAGGCAGGUUACAAAAAUCAUCCCCUCUCUCCCACAGCCAUCAGAGCAGGGCUCUGGCUCACAGGUGCCUUUAGAAGUACCAUUUCAUGUGAGGGCUACAAUGCCCCAUUUUACAGGUGGGGAAACAAAGGCCUGGAGGGCUAGGGAAGAGGGCAGGCUCCCCAGGUGGGGCAACCACCGGCUCCUCAGCUACACUGUGGCUCGCCUGCUGCUCGUAGAGGGCCACCCCAGCUGCAGCAUCCUCUCCAGCUCCGUAGCCUCUCCAGCUCCCUUGUGUCUCCUGCUCCCACAGCCUCUGAUCCUGCUCCCCAGCUCUCUUGUUCUGCUCCUCCUGCUUGCUCCAUCCUCCAGCUCUUCUGCUCUCUGUUGCCUCUCCCGUUCAAAGCCUCCCACCUGCUCCAUGGCCUCUCCUGCUCUGCUUGAUCUCUCAUCUUGCUCCGGCAGCCUCUCCUGUUCCAACUUCUCCACCUGGUCCAUAGCCUCCCUGGUCCAGCAGCCUCUCUUCUCACUACCCUCUCCUGUUCCCAUAGCCUCCACCUGCUCUCAGCCUCUCCUGCUCAUGGCAUUCCUCUCCUGCUCCAUAUCCUCUCCUGUGCUCGCCAUCCUCUCCUCCUGCUCAUUAUCCUCUCCUGCUCAUGUAUCCUCUCCUCCUGCUCACGUAUCCUCUCCUCCUGCUCAUGCUCCUCUGCUCAUUAUCCUCUCCUCCUGUCUCCUGUGCAGGAGACUCAACAUCUGAUUGUUUUCCACCUCGGCCUGGAGCUGUCUUCCCAGACUCUCCAGCUCCUUCCUUAGGUGUUUGGUCUCAUCUUGUAGCUGCUCCACCUCAGAGGGCC